RNAcentral lists this ribosomal RNA (380 nucleotides) under uncultured archaeon. Its description in RNAcentral is "bacterial SSU rRNA". It matches the Rfam family "Archaeal small subunit ribosomal RNA", at positions 345 to 727 of the family's 1478-position model. The record is from RNAcentral.
AACCUUUACAAUGCACGCAAGUGUGAUAAGGGAAUCCAGAGUGCUCAAGUUUUCUUGGGCUUUUGCCAAGAGUAAAUAUCUUGGCGAAUAAGUGGUGGGAAAGACUGGUGCCAGCCGCCGCGGUAACACCAGCGCCACAAGUGGGGAUCCUGUUUAUUUGGCCUAAAGCGUUCGUAGCUGGCUCUGUAAAUCUUUUGUGAAAUCGUUUGGCUCAACCAAACGGCGUGCAGAAGAGACUGCAAAGCUAGGGACUGGGAGGAGUUAGAGGUAUGCUGUGGGGAGCGGUAAAAUGCUAUAAUCCUCAGUGGACCACCUGUGGCGAAGGCGUCUAACUAGAACAGGUCCGACAGUGAGGGACGAAAGCCAGGGGAGCAAACCGG